Molecule: ribosomal RNA, 75 nt
Filed under: uncultured Paenibacillus sp.
Lineage: Bacteria; Bacillati; Bacillota; Bacilli; Caryophanales; Paenibacillaceae
Description: partial 16S ribosomal RNA
Source: RNAcentral
AGGUCUUGACAUCCCGAUGAAAGCACUAGAGAUAGUGCCCCUCUUCGGAGCAUUGGAGACAGGUGGUGCAUGGUU